RNAcentral lists this long non-coding RNA (1663 nucleotides) under Mus musculus (house mouse). Its description in RNAcentral is "long non-coding RNA chr2:135243427-135245090". Lineage: Eukaryota; Metazoa; Chordata; Mammalia; Rodentia; Muridae. The record is from RNAcentral.
AUAAAUUGUAAGUGCUUUGAAUCUAAGAGCCCUUUCUGUAAAAUAAAGGCAACAGCUAUUUAUCUCCUAGUAAAAGAUUGAGAGUCAAUUAGUGGAUGCAAAGAUCUUUUUUUUCAGAAUACAGUAAACAUUCAAACAACUGUUAUCAGUGUAAUGGUAUUUGUGACUAACAAGUGUUCAUAGUACCAAGUAAACACAUAUGCCACAUGCAUGUUUGGAAAUCAUAUACUACAAAUUUCACAACAUAGCUUUAGAAAUAAAAGGGCACUACCUCUGUGACACCGUAGGAAAAGUAUCUUUGGACCCGUCUAAACUGGAGAAGGAAUAGAAACGGAAACACUGAAACUUUAACAGAUUCAACUGCAGAUGGUAUUGAGAGUCAUGUUCUCAGGUUAAGAUCUUUGUCCUAAGAGUGGGAUCAAACCCGAGGCAGGAAAUGUCCUUUAAGAAGUUUCAAGAUUUAAAUAGCUGGAGCCAAGCCAAGUGCAGUGACUGUGAAUACUUGGUUUCCUUGGAAAGGGAGAGAGCAGUUUCUCUAGAGCAAAGGAGCUGCCCUUCUCAGGCCAUAGAAACGAGGACUCAGCAUUAGAUUUAUGAAGACAAGGCCCCGGGAAGACUCCAUGGCUCUACACUGACGCAUAGUCCAUAGCCUCAUGAUGAGUUCAGGUUUAAAGUCCAAGAAACCAGAAAUUUGAUCCCAAAUAAUGACUCUUAUUUCCUUAUACUUAAUUAUACUCUGGCCCCUUCUCUUGGGCCAGGCUGUGCCUAACACAGCUGCAAGGUCUUUGGGGGACCACACAACAGCCCAAAAUCAUUUAUUUAUUUAUCUAUUUGUUUAUUUAUUUGAUUGAAGAGGGAACAAAUAAAAGACUGUGCUGAAGCUAGCCAACCCAGAUUCCAGACUGCCCUGCUCUUUCAAAGGGCUGCUUUGGGCCUAGCCAUAUAUUUAAAUGUUGGCACAUAUAAAUCACAUGGAGGUUUCCUGAGUAAGUAUAGAUUCUGAUGCAGUAUGAAGCCUGAAAUCAACAUUUCUAACAAUUUUCAUUUUUACAUCCACAUUUACACUCACCCAUCACAUGAGGUUGGGUGAAUUUUCUUAUUGUGGUAGCACAGUAAUACUCAAACAGGUAAAAUGCUGUCUAAAUAUCUUAGUAAAAAUAAGUUUAUAUACUUUUCUCUAUUGCAAAAUUUGGUUACUAGAAAAUUAAAAAUUCUACUUGGUUUACAUUAUAUUCUUAUUGGACUAGAUAUAAUGGGAGAUGUAGAUUUUCAGCCUAAAAUGUCAGACUAUAAUUAAAUCUCCAGAAAUAGUUUUAAUUCCUUUACUCUUUGGCUUGAAAUAAGCUCUCAACCGUGGUUCUCCGCCUUUCUAGUGUUGUGGCCCUUUAAUGCCAUAUCUUAUGUUGUGAUGAUGAUCCCAGCCAUAAAAUUAGUUUGUUGCUACUUUAUAACUGUAAUCUUUCUACUAUUAUGAAUCUCAAUGUAAAUAUCUGAUAUACAGGAUAGAUGAUAUGCAGUCUCCACAGGGGUCAUGACCCACAGGUUGAGAACCACUGUUCUGAAAAGACCCGAUGAGACUACAUAAUGACCUCAAUUAUAAAUAUUUUCACUGCAACAUAGAGUUGCCAUAGAGCUAGAAAAAUCUGAAGUUUGACUUUAUUCC